AGGGUUUGAUCAUGGCUCAGAACGUACGCUGGCGGCACGCCUAACACAUGCAAGUCGAACGAAGUAGCAAUACUUAGUGGCAGACGGGUGAGUAACAUGUGGGUAUCUGCCCUUUGGCCUGGAAUAACACGAGGAAACUUGUGCUAAUACCGGAUAAGUCUUUACGGAGAAAGCUUUAUGCACCAUUGGAUGAGCCCGCACUUGAUUAGUUUGUUGGUGGGGUAAUGGCCUACCAAGACUGUGAUCAAUAGCUGAUUUGAGAGGAUGAUCAGCCACAUUGGGACUGAGACACGGCCCAAACUCCUACGGGAGGCAGCAGUGGGGAAUCUUGCACAAUGGAGGAAACUCUGAUGCAGCGAUGCCGCGUGAGUGAAGAAGGCCCUUGGGUUGUAAAGCUCUUUCGUCGGGGAAGAAAAUGACUGUACCCGAAUAAGAAGGUCCGGCUAACUUCGUGCCAGCAGCCGCGGUAAUACGAAGGGACCUAGCGUAGUUCGGAAUUACUGGGCUUAAAGAGUUCGUAGGUGGUUGAAAAAGUUAGUGGUGAAAUCCCAGAGCUUAACUCUGGAACUGCCAUUAAAACUUUUCAGCUAGAGUAUGAUAGAGGAAAGCAGAAUUUCUAGUGUAGAGGUGAAAUUCGUAGAUAUUAGAAAGAAUACCAAUUGCGAAGGCAGCUUUCUGGAUCAUUACUGACACUGAGGAACGAAAGCAUGGGUAGCGAAGAGGAUUAGAUACCCUCGUAGUCCAUGCCGUAAACGAUGUGUGUUAGACGUUGGAAAUUUAUUUUCAGUGUCGCAGCGAAAGCGAUAAACACACCGCCUGGGGAGUACGACCGCAAGGUUAAAACUCAAAUGAAUUGACGGGGACCCGCACAAGUAGUGGAGCAUGUGGUUUAAUUCGAAGAUACGCGCAGAACCUUACCAACACUUGACAUGUUCGUCGCGACUCUAAGAGAUUAGAGUUUUCGGUUCGGCCGGACGAAACACAGGUGCUGCAUGGCUGUCGUCAGCUCGUGUCGUGAGAUGUUGGGUUAAGUCCCGCAACGAGCGCAACCCUCACUUUUAGUUGCCAUCAUUAAGUUGGGCACUCUGAAAGAACUGCCAGUGAUAAGCUGGAGGAAGGUGGGGAUGACGUCAAGUCCUCAUGGCCCUUACGUGUUGGGCUACACACGUGCUACAAUGGUAUCUACAACAGGAAGCAAGACUGCGAGGUCAAGCAAAUCCUUAAAAGAUACCUCAGUUCGGAUUGCACUCUGCAACUCGAGUGCAUGAAGCUGGAAUUACUAGUAAUCGUGGAUCAGCGUGCCACGGUGAAUGCGUUCCCGGGUCUUGUACACACCGCCCGUCACACCAUGGGAGUUGGUUCUACCUUAAGGCAAGGUUUCAAACCCUUGACCACGGUAUAGUCAGCGACUGGGGUGAAGUCAUAACAAGGUAGCCGUA
This 1439-nucleotide ribosomal RNA is filed under the name uncultured bacterium. Its description in RNAcentral is "bacterial SSU rRNA". It matches the Rfam family "Bacterial small subunit ribosomal RNA". The record is from RNAcentral.